RNAcentral lists this ribosomal RNA (253 nucleotides) under uncultured bacterium. Its description in RNAcentral is "partial 16S ribosomal RNA". It matches the Rfam family "Bacterial small subunit ribosomal RNA", at positions 524 to 776 of the family's 1533-position model. The record is from RNAcentral.
UACAGAGGGGGCAAGCGUUGUUCGGAAUUACUGGGCGUAAAGGGCGCGUAGGCGGCCUUCUAAGUCGAACGUGAAAUCCCCGGGCUCAACCCGGGAACUGCGUCCGAUACUGGAAGGCUUGAAUCCGGGAGAGGGAUGCGGAAUUCCAGGUGUAGCGGUGAAAUGCGUAGAUAUCUGGAGGAACACCGGUGGCAAAGGCGGCAUCCUGGACCGGCAUUGACGCUGAGGAGCGAAAGCCAGGGGAGCAAACGGG